UCGAUAAUAUCGACCAGCUCUGUUGAUGGGACUUUUUGCUCGCCGAAGGUCUCAUCUGUCAUUUUCGAUUUUUGUUUUCAAAAUUGCACAUGGGACCUUUGGCAUGCAAGCGAGCUCUCACAGUAAUUUUGAAACUAUUUUGAGUUAAAUUAAUAAAAAUGGAUCCUACACAAGACCAAUUCCGGAUGUUCAUACAAGCAGCAUCACGUCGAAGCCAAAGAUCCGAUGGCAGCAGUCACUAUGGUAGUCAACCUACACCUCCGCAGAUAGAUGAUUCGUGCGAUGAAAAAUUCAAGCUACGGGAGAGUUGCAAAUGCCGAACCUGCACCUUCAAAGAAGGAUAAUUCAGUUUUUAAGCUCUCUAAGAGGAAAAGCGCUGAGUCACCACGGAGCUGAAAGAAGCGCACUGGAACUUUUCAAAAUGGUACGGAGACUCUACCGAAGCAGCAUGCUUGAAAUUAACUGCAGGACAGGUCAACAAUCCUUGCAAAAACAGCAGCAUUCAUCGUGUUCCGUUUCAUGAGAUGAAAAUGUCAAGCUACGGGAAUGUUGCAAAUGCCCGUACAACGGAUUGGAUUUUGCAACAGAAUCACGCAAAGUACGACAGAUGUAGGUUAACAGAUUUAUCCAACACUCGAGUCAAAAGCAGCAAUCUCUCCUCUACAGUAGCCACGCCACCCAUAUAUCGAUCUUUGAAGUCUCACUCUGUAUCCAUCAAAGGACAUGAUAAAUCACUGAGAAAACUGAUCAGUGAUUCAACGGGUACAGAAGAAAUGAUCGAUCUUGAUUCGAUUCCCAGUUACUGUAAAGAAAAUGUCGUUAAAGCAAGUCAUCAGCAGUAUCGAAAAAGCGUUAUUGAAGAAAGAGAGCAGAUCAGCCCAAGCCUGGCUUCUACAAAAUGCAAAGAACAAAUUAUAAUUUCAUUGGAUCAUCCAUACAUUAAGGUGUUCGAACUCUUAGUGCCACCCUCCAUCAUGUUCAAAGAUGCGAGUACAAGUCUAAUGUCUUCUGCGAGGUCUGUUGAUUGCAAUCUUCUUUAAAGUAUGCAAAAAAAACUAUUCGAGAAUUUCGACUACCACCAGUCUUCAACAGUAUCGUACACUCAUGUGCACUGGAUAAGUUCUCCUUUUCAGCAAUAUCAUAGACUGUACACUGCAUGCCUUUGAUACAAAAGAAAAAAGAAAAUCUACCAAAAAAUAUUUUUUUUUUGAAUACCUCACUAUUGCCCAAUAAUUUAAAUAAUAUUUUACUCUAGUUGACGUAAAUUUGAUUUGAAUCCAUUAUUCUUUACAAACUUAAUCAACAUUUACCAGUUUUUAUUGAGUUUUACAAAUAUCCCAAGUAACAAAGGUAUUUUCAUAAAGACCCAUUUGAUAGGUCCCAACUGACAAUAAAAGUGCAAAAGGUCUCAUGUGAUAAAAAUAUCCAAAAAUAACGUAAACAUGUAGUUUUCCGCAGAAUGAACAUCAUUUUUUAAUUUUUGAGCUUUUUUCACGUUUAGAAAUGAAGUUCAAUGUCUUAUUUUAUGUUUCUAUUCUGAUUGGCAUUUGAUUUUCAUCACGAUUUUUUCGAAGCUUAUUUUCUCCGAUAAAGGCAAAAGUCUGAUGGGACCUUUUGAAAUGUUCGUCUCGAUUUACAAUAAAAUCAGGAGUGCAUAUAAAUUAGAUCUGAAAGCGUCAAUAAUCAUUAAAAAUAAUCGUCUUUCGAAGAAAAAUAUAAAAAUAGGGGGUAAGGUCUGACGGAAAUGGUCUGUUUGGCAAUCACGAACCGCGGAUCCAUUUUCACCGACGAAACAGUUCACUUUUCGACCCGAUCGAGUUUGUUUACUUUCACACUCAACGAUCGUACACCGAGCCGGUCGCGAAUAUGCUCUUCUUAUUCUUCACCUCUUCCUCACUCUCGGAGGGGCCCACGAGGCGGAUCACCAAACAAAAUGGCUCUUCGACGCCAAAUGUUUUCCAACACUUUUUCACUCCGAUCCGGCUGGGCACAUCACCUGACGGAUAGUCACGGCUACGCAGCGGAAAAGUCAGCGAAUGGAUUCGGGAGAAAAAGUAAAUUAAGGCACUCGCGAUUA
Molecule: long non-coding RNA, 2077 nt
Filed under: Aedes aegypti (yellow fever mosquito)
Lineage: Eukaryota; Metazoa; Arthropoda; Insecta; Diptera; Culicidae
Description: lncRNA AAEL022622
Source: RNAcentral